ACACUGAACUUGAUUAACAUGUGGCUGAC
Molecule: small RNA, 29 nt
Filed under: Bombyx mori (domestic silkworm)
Lineage: Eukaryota; Metazoa; Arthropoda; Insecta; Lepidoptera; Bombycidae
Description: ovarian small RNA-11062
Source: RNAcentral